UACUAGAGUAGCACUCGCAUAUCAAUAAGCGGAGGAAAAGAAACUAACAAGGAUUCCCUCAGUAACGGCGAGUGAAGCGGGAAGAGCUCAAAUUUGAAAUCUUGAAAGGUCACCUUUCACGAAUUGUAGUUUAAAGAAGUGUUUUCUGUUACGAUCGUAAUAUAAGUUCUUUGGAAUAGGACAUCACAGAGGGUGAGAAUCCCGUCUAUGAUUGCGAUUUGUAGCUUUGUGAUACACUUUCAAAGAGUCGGGUUGUUUGGGAAUGCAGCCCAAAACGGGAGGUAAAUUUCUUCUAAGGCUAAAUAUUGGCGAGAGACCGAUAGCGAACAAGUACCGUGAGGGAAAGAUGAAAAGAACUUUGAAAAGAGAGUUAAAUAGUACGUGAAAUUGUCAAAAGGGAAGCGUUUAACACCAGUGUUGUUUUCUGAAAAUCAACCUCUGUUAGCUUUAUGCAUGUUUGUUUAGACCUAAUCAGCUAUCUUUCAUGUUCUAUUGUUUGCAGUGGUGCACUUUUCAGUUUACAGGUCAACAUCAGUUUUUUUUACCGUAAAAAAGUUAAAGAAAGGUAGCUCAUGGCUCCGGUCGUGAGUGUUAUAGUCUUUUUCCUAUGCGGUAGGAGAGACUGAGGUCUGCAGUGUAGGCUAUUUGGCUAGAUACUCAGGUGCUAUGUGAUACCAUUUCAUAAACAACUUGUUGAUUAUGUUUUGUCUAUUGCAUACUCGCUUGUACUAUCAUACCUACGCUUAGGAUGUUGAGUAGCGACAUACGCAC
Molecule: ribosomal RNA, 771 nt
Filed under: uncultured Neocallimastigales
Lineage: Eukaryota; Fungi; Neocallimastigomycota; Neocallimastigomycetes; Neocallimastigales
Description: partial large subunit ribosomal RNA
Rfam family: Eukaryotic large subunit ribosomal RNA (bases 14-661)
Source: RNAcentral